RNAcentral lists this ribosomal RNA (460 nucleotides) under uncultured bacterium. RNAcentral describes it as "partial 16S ribosomal RNA". It matches the Rfam family "Bacterial small subunit ribosomal RNA", at positions 28 to 523 of the family's 1533-position model. The record is from RNAcentral.
AACGAACGCUGGCGGCAUGCCUAACACACGCAAGUCGAACGGUGUUCCCGCUUCGGCGGGGGCAUAGUGGCGCACGGGUGAGUAACGCGUGGGAACCUGCCCCGUGGUACGGAACAACUCCGGGAAACUGGAGCUAAUACCGUAUGUGUCCCCUGGGACAGAGAUUGCAUCGCCAUGGGAGGGGCCCGCGUAGGAUUAGGUAGUUGGCGGGGUAACGGCCCACCAAGCCCGCGAUCCUUAGCUGGUCUGAGAGGAGGAUCAGCCACACUGGGACUGAGACACGGCCCAGACUCCUACGGGAGGCAGCAGUGGGGAAUAUUGGACAAUGGGCGCAAGCCUGAUCCAGCAAUGCCGCGUGAGUGAUGAAGGCCUUCGGGUUGUAAAGCUCUUUCGCACGCGACGAUGAUGACGGUAGCGUGAGAAGAAGCCCCGGCUAACUUCGUGCCAGCAGCCGCCGUAA